This 402-nucleotide ribosomal RNA is filed under the name bacterium. Its description in RNAcentral is "partial 16S ribosomal RNA". It matches the Rfam family "Bacterial small subunit ribosomal RNA", at positions 355 to 776 of the family's 1533-position model. The record is from RNAcentral.
UGGGGAAUUUUGCACAAUGGGGGAAACCCUGAUGCAGCGACGCCGCGUGAUUUAGAAGGCCUUCGGGUUGUAAAAAUCUUUUCUAUGGGAAGAAAAUGACAGUACCAUAGGAAUAAGGACCGGCUAAUUACGUGCCAGCAGCCGCGGUAAUACGUAAGGUCCGAGCGUUGAUCGGAAUCAUUGGGCGUAAAGGGUACGUAGGCGGGUAAGCAAGUUAGAAGUGAAAUCCUAUAGCUCAACUAUAGUAAGCUUUUAAAACUGCUCAUCUUGAGGUAUGGAAGGGAAAGUGGAAUUCCUAGUGUAGCGGUGAAAUGCGCAGAUAUUAGGAGGAAUACCGGUGGCGAAGGCGACUUUCUGGCCAUAACCUGACGCUGAGGUACGAAAGCGUGGGUAGCAAACAGG